This 22-nucleotide non-coding RNA is filed under the name Arabidopsis thaliana (thale cress). Lineage: Eukaryota; Viridiplantae; Streptophyta; Magnoliopsida; Brassicales; Brassicaceae. The record is from RNAcentral.
ACACAUCGUAUUUUGGGUUGGC